GGGGGUGUUCCGGAUUCGACCCUUGGUUAGAGUGCGCAGCUGCCUAUCGAGAGCCGAAGGCCUCUCGUAAAUCCCCCUUCGAAACAAACAAACGGCAACAACGAAGAAAUGCUAAUGGCGGCUUAAUGUCCGCCACGUUUCCACCACGACUCCUGCUGGUGGAUGGAAGCGUCGACAGCAGGAAUAGCGGUGAGGGCCGUCAUGACCUCGCCGCCGUAUCUUCAACCAUGGCUGGCCAAAGCAGGAGCGCGCGUCCACGCGCCUGCCGAGGCGAGAUCCAAACCGACGCUAUGUAGGUAGAUGCUGUGCAUGAAGACCCGGGGCACAGGGGUUCAACUCCCCUCACCUCCACCA
RNAcentral lists this transfer-messenger RNA (354 nucleotides) under Candidatus Didemnitutus sp. It matches the Rfam family "transfer-messenger RNA". From Rfam's summary of the family: Bacterial tmRNA, also known as 10Sa RNA or SsrA, is named for its dual tRNA and mRNA-like properties. Its role is to liberate the mRNA from a stalled ribosome. To accomplish this part of the tmRNA is used as a reading frame that ends in a translation stop signal. The record is from RNAcentral. Lineage: Bacteria; Pseudomonadati; Verrucomicrobiota; Opitutia; Opitutales; Opitutaceae.